UCCAGUUCUAGAUGAGCAUGAUUUUCUCUCUGCCAUUGGAUGUCCCUUGGUAUUUCGAUCGCCAUGAAACUUAACAUCGUCCCAUUUUUCCAGUUGUGUUUGAAUGUCUAUGCACAUAACCAGAGUUUGACUAGCUCAUUGUGAGAAAUAGAAAAUUCAAAUUCGAGAAGGUCCCUACAGCUCUACCUCUCCACCAGUCCCUGCUGUUUCACUGGCCCUGGCACCACACUGGAGAGACUAGCUUCUGAGCAAGACUGGUGGCUUCCUCGCAAGGAAUCUCUUCACCCAGCUCACUUAGAAAAGCCACAGAAAGACAAAGAAACUACUUGCAUUAACCCUUUGUGGCAGUCUACAACAAUGACUGCAGCAUUCCUCUGUAAUCUCCAAGCUUUUCCUCUAGGUGGGGAAUGGAUUUUUGCUGAUGUCUCAAUACUCUUCUGUCUGCUUCUCCCUUGUACUGAAGGCAGGGGCCAGGCUCCACUGAACUCACAACCCGGAUUUCUUUAGUAGUGCAUGGGCUUCAUGAGCUAACCAUUCCUAUGGGAUCUUUAGGAUCGUGUGUCAAACUUCACUCGUAAUAGUCUCGUUUUCUGAUUCCAAUUCCAAGUCACAGUGGUUGGAUGUUGUUGGUGAAGUGGAAACAUCUGGCUCUGUCAUGGCUUAGCUGUGUAACUUGAAGUAAGUUUCUUGCCCUCUCUGAGUUUCAGUUUCCUCAUUUGAAAAUGAGGAAUUAAUUGUCUUUUAGGGAUAAGAUGAAGAUUAAAUGAUCUAAUGUAUGUAAAGUGCCAGGCAUACAAUAGGUACUCAAUAAAUGUGAUUUCUAUUCUUUUAUAGCCAA
This is a long non-coding RNA of Mandrillus leucophaeus (drill), 838 nucleotides long. RefSeq lists it as uncharacterized. The transcript is spliced from 2 exons. The record is from RefSeq and is a predicted model, not a curated record. NCBI's taxonomy places the organism in Eukaryota, Metazoa, Chordata, Mammalia, Primates, Cercopithecidae.